AGUGAACGCUGGCGGUAGGCCUAACACAUGCAAGCCGAACGGCAGCACAGGAGAGCUUGCUCUCUGGGUGGCGAGUGGCGGACGGGUGAGGAAUACAUCGGAAUCUACUUUUUCGUGGGGGAUAACGUAGGGAAACUUACGCUAAUACUGCAUACGACCUACGGGUGAAAGCAGGGGAUCUUCGGACCUUGCGCGAUUGAAUGAGCCGAUGUGGAAUUAGCUAGUUGGCGGGGUAAAGGCCCACCAAGGCGACGAUCCGUAGCUGGUCUGAGAGGAUGAUCAGCCACACUGGAACUGAGACACGGUCCAGACUCCUACGGGAGGCAGCAGUGGGGAAUAUUGGACAAUGGGCGCAAGCCUGAUCCAGCCAUACCGCGUGGGUGAAGAAGGCCUUCGGGUUGUAAAGCCCUUUUGUUGGGAAAGAAAACCAGCUGGUUAAUACCCGGUUGGGAUGACGGUACCCAAAGAAUAAGCACCGGCUAACUUCGUGCCAGCCGCCGCCGUAA
Molecule: ribosomal RNA, 506 nt
Filed under: uncultured bacterium
Lineage: Bacteria
Description: partial 16S ribosomal RNA
Rfam family: Bacterial small subunit ribosomal RNA
Source: RNAcentral